RNAcentral lists this ribosomal RNA (405 nucleotides) under uncultured bacterium. Its description in RNAcentral is "partial 16S ribosomal RNA". It matches the Rfam family "Bacterial small subunit ribosomal RNA", at positions 29 to 526 of the family's 1533-position model. The record is from RNAcentral.
AUUGAACGCUGGCGGCAGGCCUAACACAUGCAAGUCGAACGAGUGGCGGACGGGUGAGUAAUGCUUGGGAAUCUAGCUUAUGGAGGGGGAUAACUACGGGAAACUGUAGCUAAUACCGCGUACCAUAGGAUGAGCCCAAGUGGGAGUAGGUAGUUGGUGAUGUAAAGUAUCACCAAGCCGACGAUCUCUAGAGGGUCUGAGAGGAUGACCAGCCACACUAGGACUAGGACACGGAGCAUACUCGGACGGGAGGCAGCGGGGGAGAAUAGUGCGCAGUGGGGGCAACGUGACGCAGCCAUGGCGGGUGAAUGAAGAAGGCCUUCGGGGUGUAAAGUUUGUUCGGUAGCGAGGCGUUAACUACAGAAGAAGCACCGGCUAACGCCGUGCCAGCAGCCGCGGUAAUUC